UUCAACUUAAUUGAAUACCUUCAUAUAUACUCGAUAAUACGGUUCGAGAGUCUCUACCGGAGCACCUGAAAUGCUCUGACUAUGAAGGCAGAAGUCAAGCGC
This 102-nucleotide non-coding RNA is filed under the name Pontibacillus yanchengensis. RNAcentral describes it as "Guanine sequence". It matches the Rfam family "Purine riboswitch aptamer". From Rfam's summary of the family: Riboswitches are metabolite binding domains within certain messenger RNAs that serve as precision sensors for their corresponding targets. Allosteric rearrangement of mRNA structure is mediated by ligand binding, and this results in modulation of gene expression. A class of riboswitches that selectively recognises guanine and becomes saturated at concentrations as low as 5 nM. RNAcentral also lists the same sequence under 1 other name. Lineage: Bacteria; Bacillati; Bacillota; Bacilli; Caryophanales; Bacillaceae. The record is from RNAcentral.